AAAUAGCCGUCUGGAGAGUCACCAUCUUUAUGGUGCACCGAAGGAGCAAGCACUCAGCCACGCUGCAGUGUGAAUCUCUCAGGUAUCAGGGACAGGGGGAGCGGC
RNAcentral lists this non-coding RNA (105 nucleotides) under Polynucleobacter duraquae. Its description in RNAcentral is "Glycine sequence". It matches the Rfam family "Glycine riboswitch aptamer". From Rfam's summary of the family: This family represents the bacterial glycine riboswitch. Lineage: Bacteria; Pseudomonadati; Pseudomonadota; Betaproteobacteria; Burkholderiales; Burkholderiaceae. The record is from RNAcentral.